AUGUCCUCUGACUGGGAGGAUUUAUAUCCACUUGUUUAUGUUCAUAAGUUGGUCAAGGAGAUUUUUGACCAUAACCCAUUACUUCUGGAUGGGGUGGCAUCAUCUAGGACCCCGGGGAAUAGGUGCUUUAAAUUUGAUAAUACCUGGUUGAAUAACACAGACUUCCUUCCCUUAGUGGCUGAGAUCUGGUCUAAGCCACUUUAUACUAAGGAUCCUAUUGAAAUUUUAAAUAUUAAAUUGAAGAGGUUUAAAAAGUUCUUCAAAGGUUGGAGGUCCAAUAUUUUUGGGCACAAUAAAAUCAGGAAGAAUCUUAUUAAACUUGAGUUGCAAGGAUUAGAAAAACUUUAG
This 348-nucleotide ribosomal RNA is filed under the name Triticum aestivum (bread wheat). RNAcentral's name for it is "partial small subunit ribosomal RNA". Lineage: Eukaryota; Viridiplantae; Streptophyta; Magnoliopsida; Poales; Poaceae. The record is from RNAcentral.